Molecule: transfer RNA, 69 nt
Filed under: Ceriagrion fallax
Lineage: Eukaryota; Metazoa; Arthropoda; Insecta; Odonata; Coenagrionidae
Description: tRNA-Ile
Source: RNAcentral
AAUAAAGUGCCUGAGCCAAAGGGUCAUUUUGAUAGAAUGAAUAACGUAAAUUUUAUUUUACCUUUAUUA